UACGUAGGGUGCAAGCGUUGUCCGGAAUUAUUGAGCGUAAAGAGCGUGUAGGCGGUUGCCCAAGUCCGAUGUGAAAGCCCGAGGCUCAGCCUCGGAAGUGCAUCGGAAACUAGGCAGCUGGAGCGCGAUAGAGGAGGGUAGAAUUCCUGGUGUAGCGGUGAAAUGCGUAGAUAUCAGGAGGAAUACCGGCGGCGAAGGCGGCCCUCUGGAUCGUUGCUGACGCUGAGACGCGAAAGCGUGGGGAGCAAACAGG
This 253-nucleotide ribosomal RNA is filed under the name uncultured bacterium. Its description in RNAcentral is "partial 16S ribosomal RNA". It matches the Rfam family "Bacterial small subunit ribosomal RNA", at positions 524 to 776 of the family's 1533-position model. The record is from RNAcentral.